This 2869-nucleotide ribosomal RNA is filed under the name human gut metagenome. RNAcentral describes it as "bacterial LSU rRNA". It matches the Rfam family "Bacterial large subunit ribosomal RNA". The record is from RNAcentral.
GCAAGGGCAGACGGUGGAUGCCUUGGCUCUCGGAGGCGACGAAGGACGUGAUAAGCUGCGAAAAGCCCGGGGGAGGCGCAAAUAGCCGUUGAUCCCGGGAUAUCCGAAUGGGGCAACCCGGCAGGUUGAAGGCCUGUCAUCCCGAAAGGGAGGCGAACGUGGGGAACUGAAACAUCUAAGUACCCAUAGGAGGAGAAAAUAAACAAUGAUUCCGUAAGUAGUGGCGAGCGAACACGGAAGAGCCCAAACCCAUGUCGUCUAGGCGACACGGGGGUUGUAGGACCACGACGUGGCAAGAUAGAGUCAAGUGGAACGCCUUGGAAAGGGCGACCGUAGAGGGUGAUAGUCCCGUACACGACUGACGAUUGAAGCCUAGUGGUAUCCUGAGUAGCGCGGGGCACGAGAAAUCUUGCGUGAAUUAGCGGGGCCCAUCCCGUAAGGCUAAAUACUCCCGAGAGACCGAUAGCGAACCAGUACCGUGAGGGAAAGGUGAAAAGAACCCCGAGCAGGGGAGUGAAAUAGACCCUGAACCCGUCUGCCUACAAGCGGUCGGAGCGUCGUAAUGACGUGACGGCGUGCCUUUUGCAUAAUGAACCUACGAGUUACCUUCCCCGGCAAGGUUAAGUACCUAAGGUACGGAGCCGAAGCGAAAGCGAGUCUGAACAGGGCGCCAAGUCGGGGGGGGUAGACGCGAAACCGAGUGAUCUACCCUUGGCCAGGUUGAAGGUUGGGUAACACCAACUGGAGGACCGGAUGGGUAAGCGUUGAAAAGCUUUCCAAUGAGCUGAGGGUAGGGGUGAAAGGCUAAUCAAACUCGGAGAUAGCUCGUACUCCCCGAAAUGCAUUUAGGUGCAGCCUCUUUAUAGUAUAUCGUGAGGUAGAGCGACUGAUUGGAUGCGAGGGCUUCACCGCCUAUCAAGUCCAGAUAAACUCCGAAUGCGCGAUAUAUAUUUACAGGGAGUGAGGGCGCGGGUGCUAAGGUCCGUGUCCGAGAGGAGAAGAAUCCAGACCACCGGCUAAGGCCCCCAAAUGAUCGUUAAGUUGAACUAACGAGGUCGGAUCGCAGAGACAGCUAGGAUGUUGGCUUGGAAGCAGCCAUUCAUUUAAAGAGUGCGUAACAGCUCACUAGUCGAGCGAUCUGGCGUGGAUAAUAAUCGGGCAUAAACGAUCUGCCGAAGCCGUGGAUGUCGCAAGACAUGGUAGGGGAGCAUUCCAUGCGGCGUCGAAGAUGAGGGAUGACCCUUGUUGGAGCGCAUGGAAAAGCAAAUGUAGGUAUGAGUAACGAUAAGGGGGGCGAGAAACCCCCCCGCCGAAAGACCAAGGUUUCCUGAUCAACGCUAAUCGGAUCAGGGUGAGUCGGGACCUAAGGCAAAGCCGAACGGCGCCGCCGAUGGAAGAAUGGGUUAAUAUUCCCAUACUGCCUCAUGGAGUGACGUGGAGACGGAGAAGUGACAGUCCUGCCGGCUGACGGAAUAGCCGGUUGAAGGGUGUAGAUAUUGAUUCCCGUAGGCAAAUCCGCGGGGAGAGUCGAACCUGAGAGUAUACGGAGCGCUUGCGCGACGUAAUAUGGACGUAACCAUGCUCCCGAGAAAAUCCGCUAAACUUAUCCAUGCGGCACCCGUACCGUAAACGGACACACGUGGUCGGGUUGAGAAUACUGAGGCGCUCGAGUGAUUCACGGUUAAGGAACUAGGCAAAUUGACCCUGUAACUUCGGGAUAAAGGGUCCUCGUCGUAAGGCGAGGCGCAGAGAAUAGGUCCAGGCAACUGUUUAACAAAAACACAUGGCUGUGCUAAAUGGAAACAUGACGUAUACAGCCUGACACCUGCCCGGUGCCGGAAGGUUAAGAGGAGAUGUCAUCCGCGAGGAGAAGCGUUGAAUUGAAGCCCCGGUAAACGGCGGCCGUAACUAUAACGGUCCUAAGGUAGCGAAAUUCCUUGUCGGGUAAGUUCCGACCUGCACGAAUGGUGUAAUGAUCUGGACACUGUCUCAACCGUGAGCUCGGUGAAAUUGUAGUAUCGGUGAAGAUGCCGAUUACCCGCGAUGGGACGAAAAGACCCCGUGAACCUUUACUAUAGCUUUACAUUGAGUUUGGGCAGACGAUGUGUAGGAUAGGCCGGAGGCUUUGAAGCAGGUACGCCAGUAUUUGUGGAGCCGACGUUGAAAUACGGCCCUUCGGUUGUUUGAGUUCUAACUCCUAGUUAGGAGGACACUGUAUGGUGGGUAGUUUGACUGGGGUGGUCGCCUCCAAAAGCGUAACGGAGGCUUCUAAAGGUGCCCUCAGACCGAUUGGUAACCGGUCGCAGAGUGUAAUGGCAUAAGGGCGCUUGACUGGGAGACAUACAAGUCGAUCAGGUAGGAAACUAGAGCAUAGUGAUCCGGUGGUUCCGCAUGGAAGGGCCAUCGCUCAAAGGAUAAAAGGUACUCCGGGGAUAACAGGCUGAUCAUUCCCAAGAGCUCAUAUCGACGGAAUGGUUUGGCACCUCGAUGUCGGCUCGUCACAUCCUGGGGCUGGAGAAGGUCCCAAGGGUUGGGCUGUUCGCCCAUUAAAGUGGCACGCGAGCUGGGUUCAGAACGUCGUGAGACAGUUCGGUCUCUAUCUAUCGUGGGCGCAGGAGAUUUGAGGGGCUCUGACACUAGUACGAGAGGACCGUGUCGGACGUACCACUGGUUUACCGGUUGUCCCGCCAGGGGCACCGCCGGGUAUCUAAGUACGGAUCGGAUAAGUGCUGAAAGCAUCUAAGUACGAAGCCGGCCUCAAGAUUAGAUCUCCCUCAAGGGUGGUUAUAGACGAUGACCUUGAUAGGCCACAGGUGUAAGGGCGGCGACGUCCGAGCCGAGUGGUACUAAUAGCCCGGGACUUUCCUCA